GACACUUCAGUUACAUUACAAAAGGUUAUUUUCCAUUUCUCAUGGAUGGUUAAUAAUGACAGUCGGAAGUGAUUAUAAGUUUCCCAGUCAUUUUAAUUUCGUUAAUGUUUGCCCAUGAUGACUCAUGAUGCUACUCGGUCUGGUGCAAUCUGAAAACAUUGAACCAACACUGUAUGCCUGUUUGUUUCUGGGCUUGAAAUACCAAUAAUCUUGUGAAAUCAUUAUAGUAGGUUUUCAGAAGUGGUACUUUGGGGGAAAUCCAAAAAUCUUUUGAGUAUGAAGGAAAAUAUUUUUCCUUUACCUUUUUCCUUUUCCUUAUAUUUUCUUCUGUCCUUUUAAAUUUUUUAACAUUUUUUCUUGUAGUCUACUGUUUGUUUCAUUUUCAAGUUAGUUUGGAUCCCG
Molecule: unclassified non-coding RNA, 402 nt
Filed under: Hevea brasiliensis (rubber tree)
Lineage: Eukaryota; Viridiplantae; Streptophyta; Magnoliopsida; Malpighiales; Euphorbiaceae
Source: RNAcentral